GAUGAAGAACGUAGCGAAAUGCGAUAAGUAAUGUGAAUUGCAGAAUUCCGUGAAUCAUCGAAUCUUUGAACGCACAUUGCGCCCCUUGGUAUUCCAUGGGGCAUGCCUGUUCGAGCGUCAUUUGUACCUUCAAGCUUUGCUUGGUGUUGGGUGUUUGUCUCGCCUUUGCGUGUAGACUCGCCUUAAAAUAAUUGGCAGCCGGCGUAUUGAUUUCGGAGCGCAGUACAUCUCGCGCUUUGCACUCAUAACGACAGCGUCCAAAAGUACAUUUUACACUCUUGACCUCGGAUCAGGUAGGGAUACCCGCUGAACUUAAGCAUAUCAAUAAGCGGAGGA
This 336-nucleotide unclassified non-coding RNA is filed under the name soil metagenome. Its description in RNAcentral is "partial contains 5.8S ribosomal RNA, internal transcribed spacer 2, and large subunit ribosomal RNA". The stretch from base 1 to 120 matches the Rfam family "5.8S ribosomal RNA", at positions 35 to 154 of the family's 154-position model. The record is from RNAcentral.